This 492-nucleotide ribosomal RNA is filed under the name uncultured bacterium. Its description in RNAcentral is "partial 16S ribosomal RNA". It matches the Rfam family "Bacterial small subunit ribosomal RNA", at positions 29 to 507 of the family's 1533-position model. The record is from RNAcentral.
AGUGAACGCUGGCGGUAGGCCUAACACAUGCAAGUCGAACGGCAGCACAGUAAGAGCUUGCUCUUACGGGUGGCGAGUGGCGGACGGGUGAGGAAUACAUCGGAAUCUACUUUUUCGUGGGGGAUAACGUAGGGAAACUUACGCUAAUACCGCAUACGACCUACGGUUGAAAGCAGGGGCUCUUCGGACCUUGCGCGAUUGAAUGAGCCGAUGUCGGAUUAGCUAGUUGGCGGGGUAAAGGCCCACCAAGGCGACGAUCCGUAGCUGGUCUGAGAGGAUGAUCAGCCACACUGGAACUGAGACACGGUCCAGACUCCUGCGGGAGGACGCAGUGGGGAAUAUUGGACAAUGGGCGCAAGCCUGAUACAGCAAUACCGAGUGGGUGAAGAAGGCCUUCGGGUUGUAAAGCCAUUUUGUUGGGAAAGAAAAGCAGCAGGUUAAUACCCCGCUGUUCUGACGGUACCCAAAGAAUAAGCACCGGCUAACUUCGUG